This 661-nucleotide ribosomal RNA is filed under the name Bacillus safensis. Its description in RNAcentral is "bacterial SSU rRNA". It matches the Rfam family "Bacterial small subunit ribosomal RNA", at positions 56 to 700 of the family's 1533-position model. Lineage: Bacteria; Bacillati; Bacillota; Bacilli; Caryophanales; Bacillaceae. The record is from RNAcentral.
UGCAAGUCGAGCGGACAGAAGGGAGCUUGCUCCCGGAUGUUAGCGGCGGACGGGUGAGUAACACGUGGGUAACCUGCCUGUAAGACUGGGAUAACUCCGGGAAACCGGAGCUAAUACCGGAUAGUUCCUUGAACCGCAUGGUUCAAGGAUGAAAGACGGUUUCGGCUGUCACUUACAGAUGGACCCGCGGCGCAUUAGCUAGUUGGUGGGGUAAUGGCUCACCAAGGCGACGAUGCGUAGCCGACCUGAGAGGGUGAUCGGCCACACUGGGACUGAGACACGGCCCAGACUCCUACGGGAGGCAGCAGUAGGGAAUCUUCCGCAAUGGACGAAAGUCUGACGGAGCAACGCCGCGUGAGUGAUGAAGGUUUUCGGAUCGUAAAGCUCUGUUGUUAGGGAAGAACAAGUGCGAGAGUAACUGCUCGCACCUUGACGGUACCUAACCAGAAAGCCACGGCUAACUACGUGCCAGCAGCCGCGGUAAUACGUAGGUGGCAAGCGUUGUCCGGAAUUAUUGGGCGUAAAGGGCUCGCAGGCGGUUUCUUAAGUCUGAUGUGAAAGCCCCCGGCUCAACCGGGGAGGGUCAUUGGAAACUGGGAAACUUGAGUGCAGAAGAGGAGAGUGGAAUUCCACGUGUAGCGGUGAAAUGCGUAGAGAUGUG